This 284-nucleotide ribosomal RNA is filed under the name uncultured bacterium. Its description in RNAcentral is "partial 16S ribosomal RNA". It matches the Rfam family "Bacterial small subunit ribosomal RNA", at positions 333 to 614 of the family's 1533-position model. The record is from RNAcentral.
AGUAUCCUACGGGAGGCAGCAGUGAGGAAUAUUGGUCAAUGGACGGAAGUCCGAACCAGCCAUGCCACGUGCAGGAAGACGGCUCUAUGAGUUGUAAACUGCUUUUGUACAAGGGUAAACCUGAAUACGUGUAUUCAGCUGAAAGUACUGUACGAAUAAGGAUCGGCUAACUCCGUGCCAGCAGCCGCGGUAAUACGGAGGAUCCAAGCGUUAUCCGGAUUUAUUGGGUUUAAAGGGUGCGUAGGCGGAUUGAUAAGUUAGAGGUGAAAUGUCCGAGCUCAACU